This 437-nucleotide ribosomal RNA is filed under the name uncultured archaeon. Its description in RNAcentral is "bacterial SSU rRNA". It matches the Rfam family "Archaeal small subunit ribosomal RNA", at positions 474 to 903 of the family's 1478-position model. The record is from RNAcentral.
CACCGGCGGCCCGAGUGGUAACCGCUUUUAUUGGGUCUAAAGGGUCUGUAGCCGGCCAGGUAAGUCCCUUGGGAAAUCUGGCAGCUCAACUGUCAGGCUGCUAGGGGAUACUGUUUGGCUUGGGACCGGGAGAGGUGAGAGGUACCUUGGGGGUAGGGGUGAAAUCUUGUGAUCCUCGGGGGACCACCAGUGGCGAAGGCGUCUCACCAGAACGGGUCCGACGGUAAGGACGAAAGCUAGGGGCACGAACCGGAUUAGAUACCCGGGUAGUCCUAGCCGUAAACGAUGCUCGCUAGGUGUCAGUCACGGUGCGACCGUGAUUGGUGCCGUAGGGAAGCCGUGAAGCGAGCCACCUGGGAAGUAUGGCCGCAAAGGCUAGAAAACUUAAAGGAAUUGGGACGGGGGAGCGAACUACGAACGGGUGGAGCCUGCGGUUU